This 525-nucleotide long non-coding RNA is filed under the name Equus asinus (donkey). RNAcentral's name for it is "lncRNA (ENSEASG00005036710.1)". Lineage: Eukaryota; Metazoa; Chordata; Mammalia; Perissodactyla; Equidae. The record is from RNAcentral.
GGUGGCCUUUGCUGGUUGUCUGGGCACUUUCUGAUGCAAAUGGAGGAAGCCAGGCCCAAAGGGCCUUUAUUAGGAAGUAAACUGGUCCAGCUCGGGAAAGUGAAGGAAGGAGGCUCCAGGACAUCAGAGACUGGGGUCAGCUCUCCUCUCUUCUUCAGCUCCAGGCAUGACUCUCAGCAUUACAUCCUUUCAGCUCUGCUUCCCCAGAGUUGAAACAAAUUCUCUCUCCAGCUUCCCCUGAAAAAAUCCGAGGGAAGGGCUCUGAUUGGCCCAGCACAGGUGGCAGGCCCUGAACUAGGUACUUGAUGCUCAUCGUCUUUUUGCAUCCUCACGAUAACUAUAAAAGAAGCAGUGGGAAAAGGAGAAAGUAUUUACCAAACCUCAUGGGUGACAUUCAUGGCUCUUUCCUGCAAGCUCUACCCUCUGCUUUGUAUGAGAGAAAUCUCCCCUCAGUCAUCGUGGUGGACCAGUCAGGUUCCUGCCAGGGUGACUGUUCAGUUAUUUCCUGCUGGAGCACCAAGCCGG